ACUCCUACGGGAGGCAGCAGUGGGGAAUAUUGGACAAUGGGCGCAAGCCUGAUCCAGCCAUGCCGCGUGAGUGAUGAAGGCCCUAGGGUUGUAAAGCUCUUUCACCGGAGAAGAUAAUGACGGUAUCCGGAGAAGAAGCCCCGGCUAACUUCGUGCCAGCAGCCGCGGUAAUACGAAGGGGGCUAGCGUUGUUCGGAAUUACUGGGCGUAAAGCGCACGUAGGCGGAUCGAUCAGUCAGGGGUGAAAUCCCAGGGCUCAACCCUGGAACUGCCUUUGAUACUGUCGAUCUGGAGUAUGGAAAAGGUGAGUGGAAUUCCGAGUGUAGAGGUGAAAUUCGUAGAUAUUCGGAGGAACACCAGUGGCGAAGGCGGCUCACUGGUCCAUUACUGACGCUGAGGUGCGAAAGCGUGGGGAGCAAACAGGAUUAGAUACCCCAGUAGUCCCA
Molecule: ribosomal RNA, 446 nt
Filed under: uncultured organism
Description: partial 16S ribosomal RNA
Rfam family: Bacterial small subunit ribosomal RNA
Source: RNAcentral